Motacilla alba alba is the source of this 281-nucleotide long non-coding RNA. RefSeq lists it as uncharacterized. NCBI's taxonomy places the organism in Eukaryota, Metazoa, Chordata, Aves, Passeriformes, Motacillidae. The transcript is spliced from 3 exons. The record is from RefSeq and is a predicted model, not a curated record.
UGCAAAGAUUUCAGCUCUCUACUCCACGAGCCACCCUCUAACUCACAGCUGGUACAAAUGGGUGUGACUCAUUGCACAGCCAGAGGUUAUAAUGAAGUAUCCCACUCAUCCUUUAGCUCACCCUUUGUUGAAGACAAUGCAGAUUGCGGAAGGUUUCUGAGGAGGAGUAUCUGGGAUAAGUUGCUGGGAAGAAGGAAGAAGGAGCACAGUUCUAUUGGAAAGAAUGUCUUGAUGCUGAUUAUGAAAAUGACAUGGAAGUCAUGGGCUGAAUUAAAUAUUUU